RNAcentral lists this ribosomal RNA (582 nucleotides) under Gemmatimonadaceae bacterium. RNAcentral's name for it is "bacterial SSU rRNA". It matches the Rfam family "Bacterial small subunit ribosomal RNA", at positions 6 to 564 of the family's 1533-position model. Lineage: Bacteria; Pseudomonadati; Gemmatimonadota; Gemmatimonadia; Gemmatimonadales; Gemmatimonadaceae. The record is from RNAcentral.
GGAGAGUUUGAUCCUGGCUCAGAACUAACGCUAGUGGCGUGUCUUAGUCAUGCGAGUCGAGCGAGAAAGUCCUCUUCGGAGGGCGAGUACAGCGGCAAACGGGUGAGUAACGCGUGGGUAAUCUACCUUUGAGUUGGGGAUAACACUCCUAACGGAGUGCUAAUACCGAAUGUGAUGUCGGGAUCUUGGUUCCGGCUUGAAAGAUGGCCUCUGCUUGCAUGCUGUCGCUCGAAGAUGAGCCCGCGUCCUAUUAGCUUGUUGGUGGGGUAAUGGCCUACCAAGGCAACGAUGGGUAGCCGGCCUGAGAGGGUGAACGGCCACACUGGCACUGAGACAAGGGCCAGUCCCCUACGGGGGCCAGCAGUCUAGAAAUUUGCACAAUCGCCGAAAGGCGGAUGCAGCGACGCCACGUGGAGGAUGAAGCCUUUCGGGGUGUAAACUCCUGUCAGAGGGGAAGAAGGUGCGGGUAUUAAUACCAUCCGUUACUUGACGGUACCCUCAGAGGAAGCUCCGGCUAACUGCGUGCCAGCAGCCGCGGUAAUACGUGGGGAGCAAGCGUUGUUCGGAUUUACUGGGCGUAAA